CAUACGCAUAGAUAGAUGAGUUCAAACUGUCACCACCAGUUGAAUUAAGCGUGUUUUUGUUUUGUGUUUGCUUUAAUUGCGUCCAUGUGAAGGUACUGCAAAUACUUCUAAAAAUGAAAAUAUUGAUAUACACUUGCCCAUAGGCUCCAGUGUGAGAACAGCACAGUUAUGAACUAAGUAGACCUACUUUAGGCAGCCAUCGUGAACGCCUGACUACCUCCAUCUGCUGGUGACUUUUAGAACAGCAGCAGAUAAAUAAACUGUGUAUAUCUAAGGUGAAAGUGAAACCAUUCUUCAGUGCGUCGCUUCCUGUUCCGAGUAGCUCAUCGUAAUGGCAUGCCCGAGAAACAACAAAGUAGAGAGUGUUGAAACAUCUAAUCCAGUCAAGCAGAAGCUGAAGAAAUUCUACCCGAUCGUGGCAGGGAAUACAAAAGACUGCCAUAAAAAAGUUGUCAAGAAACUUAAGAAAUAUGGAGCGAAGAAAGUGGACAGCGCUGAGAGAAGUGAAGUGGUGUUGAUCUUCUGUCCCAUCGUCAGUCGUUUUGAAUCGGACAUAAACGCUGCUCUGAGUGAACUCCAACUCAACGAAUGUACCAGGUCACCGAAACUCAUCAUGGUGGCCAUGCAUCACACACACAAGGCCGAUUACACCGUACCGCCCAAAAGAAAGCACAGCCACAACGGACAGGACGUCCCGGUGGCGCACUGUCUCUUUCACGAGACCAAGGGCCUCCUUCAGUGUCCGGCCAACAAGCAGGCUGUCAAAGCUAUCCGGAAAGAAAUGGGGAUCAAAAAGUAUCGACAUCGAUUCUUUUAAUUUGUUGACACAUCUGCGAAAUCAUUCAAGACAACUUCAGUCAAGACUGAAGAAGAUGAAUUUGAAAAAGGUGCCAAUAUUUGUCAAAUGUGGCUCAUAGCCCUUACCACUUUGUCUCAGGCUCACCAGGCUAAGAUGAUACUUUAAAGGCCCUAUACCUGUAUACCUUUUUUAUUUAUUACAAUGAAAGUUUAGACUUAUAUUAGUAGACUGUCACUCCUCCCCAUUUACGCCAUUGGUCCCAACGUUCCUACCCCAUUUCUAACAUCCCAGUUAUUCACAGGAAUGAGCUUAAAAACACAUUUCACAACUUUCAUUGUCACUGUCACAGUAAUGCUAACAAAAACAUCCAGUCUUGUUUUUCACAAACCGCUGACUGCAUAUUCAAAUACUGAAGGAGGACAAUUACAGGGCCUUUAAGUGGUAGCUGUUGAAAUGUUUAAAUUUGCAGAAACAGAAAGCAAUGGUCUAAGCUUAAAAGCAAUAGUGUAAACUUUGGACAGCCUGUUCACAAGAAGUUAUGUUCUGAUCCAUUUCUGCAUAAUGUAGAAAUGGAUUAUUUUCAGUUGCCAAUUUGCUUUAUAAUAGAGAGUCCUUCACACUUCUCAAGACUUGCUGUAUUGUACUGAUAGCUUUGUUAAGCAUUCACAGAUCUUAUUUAAUUUUGUGCGCCGCAGAAUGUAGUGUUAGCUUCAAUAGAUUCACUGUCACAUAACGCUGUUGUGUCUUUUGCCUUUCUGUCUGCAUGUCUGGAAUUAAGAUGCAGUUAAUGCAGUUCUGUGCUCGCUCUAAUGACGUCAUCCAUCUCUGCUGUGUUUGUACCAGAACCUUCAACAGUCUUUACCUCUAAACACCUUCUAACCAACUCCUCCAGUCCGGUAACCCCCCUGGCUUAUUAGACUCUGUUUCUGUAAUGAUAUGCAAUAAUAUACAAACAACACACUGUAUACUUGUCAUACUUGUGCUUCCCUUCUAUUAAACGUUGCACUGUUGCUCUGACUGCAUGCACUUCACUCCGCUGCUCACAAGAUGGCACCUGAAGAUGACAUUUCAUCACAUAGAGGCCUUGUACUGUAGUGAGUACUGUACUUGCACUGUACAUGUUCUGAUAUGUAAGGCUUUGUAAAUAAAUACGGCUGAAAAACGUG
This is a long non-coding RNA of Neogobius melanostomus (round goby), 1965 nucleotides long. The record is from Ensembl. NCBI's taxonomy places the organism in Eukaryota, Metazoa, Chordata, Actinopteri, Gobiiformes, Gobiidae.